This 127-nucleotide small RNA is filed under the name Synechococcus sp. RNAcentral's name for it is "c-di-AMP sequence". It matches the Rfam family "c-di-AMP riboswitch aptamer (ydaO/yuaA leader)". From Rfam's summary of the family: This family represents a conserved RNA structure found upstream of the ydaO and yuaA genes in Bacillus subtilis and related genes in other bacteria. The ydaO/yuaA element is thought to act as a genetic "off" switch for the ydaO and yuaA genes in its native state. Lineage: Bacteria; Bacillati; Cyanobacteriota; Cyanophyceae; Synechococcales; Synechococcaceae. RNAcentral also lists the same sequence under 1 other name. The record is from RNAcentral.
CGAUAAAAACGGCACAGGACUAAAAGCGGGGGAACCAAUGUAUCGGGGCGAAUCCAGGCCUGCUUGGAGUGGACAUCUCUCAGUCCUAGCCCGUCAGCUAACCCCGUCAGCAAUGAGAAAAGGCGAU